UGGGGAAUAUUGGACAAUGGGCGAAAGCCUGAUCCAGCCAUGCCGCGUGUGUGAAGAAGGCCUUUUGGUUGUAAAGCACUUUAAGCGAGGAGGAGGCUCUUCUAGUUAAUACCUAGGAUGAGUGGACGUUACUCGCAGAAUAAGCACCGGCUAACUCUGUGCCAGCAGCCGCGGUAAUACAGAGGGUGCGAGCGUUAAUCGGAUUUACUGGGCGUAAAGCGUGCGUAGGCGGCUGAUUAAGUCGGAUGUGAAAUCCCUGAGCUUAACUUAGGAAUUGCAUUCGAUACUGGUCAGCUAGAGUAUGGGAGAGGAUGGUAGAAUUCCAGGUGUAGCGGUGAAAUGCGUAGAGAUCUGGAGGAAUACCGAUGGCGAAGGCAGCCAUCUGGCCUAAUACUGACGCUGAGGUACGAAAGCAUGGGGAGCAAACAGG
RNAcentral lists this ribosomal RNA (430 nucleotides) under Pseudomonadota bacterium. Its description in RNAcentral is "Proteobacteria bacterium partial 16S ribosomal RNA". It matches the Rfam family "Bacterial small subunit ribosomal RNA", at positions 355 to 776 of the family's 1533-position model. The record is from RNAcentral. Lineage: Bacteria; Pseudomonadati; Pseudomonadota.